CGUAGGGUGCGAGCGUUAAUCGGAAUUACUGGGCGUAAAGCGUGCGCAGGCGGUUCGCCAAGUCAGGUGUGAAAUCCCCGGGCUUAACCUGGGAAUUGCGCUUGAAACUAGCGGGCUUGAGUGUGGCAGAGGGGGUGGAAUUCCACGUGUAGCAGUGAAAUGCGUAGAGAUGUGGAGGAACACCGAUGGCGAAGGCAGCCCCCUGGGUCAACACUGACGCUCAUGCACGAAAGCGUGGGGAGCAAACAGGAUUAGAUACCCUGGUAGUCCACGCCCUAAACGAUGUCGACUAGGUGUUGGGGAAGGAGACUUCCUUAGUACCGCAGCUAACGCGUGAAGUCGACCGCCUGGGGAGUACGGUCGCAAGAUUA
This 371-nucleotide ribosomal RNA is filed under the name uncultured organism. RNAcentral's name for it is "bacterial SSU rRNA". It matches the Rfam family "Bacterial small subunit ribosomal RNA", at positions 526 to 896 of the family's 1533-position model. The record is from RNAcentral.